RNAcentral lists this ribosomal RNA (1367 nucleotides) under Triuncina daii. RNAcentral's name for it is "16S ribosomal RNA". The record is from RNAcentral. Lineage: Eukaryota; Metazoa; Arthropoda; Insecta; Lepidoptera; Bombycidae.
GGGGGGAAAUUAAUUAUUUAUUUAAUUAAUAAAAGAAUUUUUAAUAUAAAAAUAUUUUAAUGGGGGUUAAAGUAAUUUUAUAGAAAAAAUUGAAAAUUUUAUAGUUUAUUUAGUAUUGUGAAAGAAUUUUGAAAUAAAUGAAAAUAAAUUAUUUAAAAAGUAAAUUUUAUUUAUUGUAUCUUGUGUAUCAGAGUUUAUUAAAAAAAUUUUAUUUAUAAAAAUUUCUCGAAUUUAAAAGAGUUAAUUAAUUAUAAAAGUUAUUGUAGCAAAAAUAUUUUAAAUAAUUAAUUUGAAAUGAAAUGUUAUUCGUUUUUAAAUAUAUCUAGUUUUUAUAGAAAAAAAUUUAAUUUUUUAUUAAUUUUUAUUUUUAUUAAUUAUAAUUAAUAAAAAUAAUUUUUAAUAUAAUAAUUUAAGGGAUAAUCUUUAAAUUAAAUUUUUAUAUGUAAAAUAAAUUAAUUAAAAAAUUUUAUAAUUUAUAUUGUUAAUAAAUUUUAAUUUAUUAUAAAUAAUUUUAUUAAAAAUUAAAAUUUAAUUAAAUAUUUAAUUUUUUAUAUAAAAGUAAUUUUUAAUAAUAAAAAUUAAGUUAUAAUGAUAAAAUUAGUAAAAUAAAAAAAAUUAAUAAUAAUUAUUGAAAUUAAGAUAAUAAUUAAAAUUAUAUAAAAGGAAUUCGGCAAAAUUUUAUAUUCACUUGUUUAUCAAAAACAUGUCUUUUUGAAAUAAUAACUUAAAGUCUAAUCUGCCCACUGAUUAAAAAUUAAAGGGCUGCAGUAUUUUGACUGUACAAAGGUAGCAUAAUCAUUAGUCUCUUAAUUAGUGACUUGUAUGAAAGAUUGGAUGGAAUAUAAGCUGUCUCUUAUGUAAAAUUAUUUGAAUUUAAUUUUUUAAUUAAAAAGUUAAAAUUUGUUAAAAAGACGAGAAGACCCUAUAGAGUUUUAUAUUUUAAAUUAUAAAAAUUUUUUUAUAAUAUUUGAAUAGAUUAAAAAUAUUUUAUUGGGGUGAUAAAAAAAUUAAUUAAACUUUUUUUUUAAUAAGACAUUAAUAAGUGAAUAUUUGAUCCAAUUUUAUUGAUUAUAAGAAAAAAUUACCUUAGGGAUAACAGCGUAAUUUUUUUUUUAGUUCAUAUAAAAAAAAAAAGUUUGCGACCUCGAUGUUGGAUUAAGAUAAAAAUUAAAUGUAGAAGUUUAAAUUUUUUGAUCUGUUCGAUCAUUAAAAUCUUACAUGAUCUGAGUUCAAACCGGUGUGAGCCAGGUUGGUUUCUAUCUUUUAAUAAAAAAAAUAUUUUAGUACGAAAGGAUCAAAUAUUUUAAUUAAAUUAAAAAAUAAUUUGAAUAUUAUUAAAUAUUAAUUAAAUUUAUAAAUAUAAUUAA